GUGCUCACUUCUGCAGCAUACAUACUAGCACUGUAACAGAACGGAGAAGAUCGGCAUAGCCCUUGCACAAGGAUGGCGUGCGGGUUUGUGGGUGCUUCCCAGUAUUA
Rattus norvegicus (Norway rat) is the source of this 107-nucleotide small nuclear RNA. NCBI's taxonomy places the organism in Eukaryota, Metazoa, Chordata, Mammalia, Rodentia, Muridae. The record is from Ensembl.